This 165-nucleotide ribosomal RNA is filed under the name Arctostaphylos tomentosa subsp. tomentosa. RNAcentral describes it as "5.8S ribosomal RNA". It matches the Rfam family "5.8S ribosomal RNA". From Rfam's summary of the family: 5.8S ribosomal RNA (5.8S rRNA) is a component of the large subunit of the eukaryotic ribosome. The record is from RNAcentral. Lineage: Eukaryota; Viridiplantae; Streptophyta; Magnoliopsida; Ericales; Ericaceae.
CUAAACGACUCUCGGCAACGGAUAUCUCGGCUCUUGCAUCGAUGAAGAACGCAGCGAAAUGCGAUACUUGGUGUGAAUUGCAGAAUCCCGUGAACCAUCGAGUCUUUGAACGCAAGUUGCGCCUGAAGCCAUUAGGUUGAAGGCACGUCUGCCUGGGCGUCACGC